GCCUGCUGUCAUGCAACGUGUCUUUGCUCCUCCUUCACCUUCCGCCAUGAUUGUGAGGCUUCCCCAGCCAUGUGGAAACAUAUUCGCAGAGCACCCACUAGGUGCCAGUAAAUGUAUGAGAAGUCCUGUGGAAUAAGACUGAAGUUGUCCUUGCCUUCAAGCAACUUGCAAUUGCCUAAGAACACAGUUUAAAACCACAAAACUAAGCCUUGGAAAUCACAUGCUGUCAUUUCUGCGAUCGGUCAUAACCAGUCCUGAUUCCAUGUUAGAGGAGACUACAUAAGGACACAGGUACCAGAAGAUGAAAAAUUUGGAGUCUAGUGAAAAGAAGUGACUUGCUCAAAAUCACACAGCACAUGAAGAACAGAGCCUCUAUGAUGAAUUUCUUGACAGAACUCUCUUUUGGCCUGCUGCCAUUCACGUUAGAUGUGACUUGCUCCUCCUUGCCUCCUGCCAUGAUUGUGAGGCCUCCCAAGCCAUGUGGAACUAUGGGAGUUUACCUGCACAAAACUCUUUUUUUGCCUGCUACCAUCCACGUUAGAUAUGACUUGCUCCUCCUUGCCUUCCAUCAUGAUUGUGAGGCCUGCCCAGACAUGUGGAACUCUGAUAUAAGUCUUUUGAGGUACAGCCUGGCACAAAAAGGAUGAGAUUUGUGGGCAGAAUUUUGGAAGAAUAUCUCCCGAGAGAACAUUCAGGACAGAUUGCACUGCUUUGGAGAGCUGGUGAUGAAAUCCGGCCAUUGAAUUACACUGCACUAUAAACUUCAUUUGUUCUUGGGUGCAUAGUGAUUUGCUAUAAUAAUGAUCAUCCAUUUGCCAGACAGCUGAGAUUUUUUAAAAGCUUGAUUGCUUUUGGCAUGGCAUUAUUAGUCCUGGAAGAAGGCAGCACAUUUGUAGCAAUUCUCAGCUUGAGCAAACUAGAAUAUUCACCUCCCACAAAUGCUGGCCAUUUAAGAUCUGUGUGUUAGACUUUGGCAUUUUUUCUAGCAAUUCUACAACAGCAUACACACUUUUAUUUUUCAUUAACACCAUUGUGAAUAUGCCCAUCUCUAAAAUUUCAAGGGGGUUCACUUAAGCUACUGAGUUUUAUGGACAGAAGGGCCAAGAAAAGUCCCCAAAGAAGAGUGCAUGCUGUCAAUUGCCAAUUAUUUUUUUUUCUAAUGAAAGCCAAACAAUUCCAGACAAACCCUUUUCUAAGAAAUGAACUACAUAUCUGGAUCCAAAUAAAUACUCAUCUGAUAAGAAUCUAAAAGCUCUACUGAAUUACAGUGGAUGAGAACAUGAUGAUGGUGAUUCUUUGAAGAUUACUGAGGAAAUCAACUCUCAUGUCUGAUUCUGAUACUUUUAUAGUCCAUCCAUGUUGAAAAUGUCUAUGGAAUGAUUCUGUUGUACCUUGAGAAAUGAAAUUCAUAGGCAUGGAUUCUCUCACACAGCAACUUUAUACACAAAGAUGAGAAUAGAAGAAAGGUCAUUUCCAAAGAAAGUGACAUUUAUUCUGUAUUCACUGAAAAGCCAAAAGAAUUUUCUCAUUCACCCAUACCGACAGAGCCCUACAUCUCCCCGAGAAGAGGUGAAAGAGACUGCUCCUAUCUGCUUCUGCAUCAAACUUCAGGCUCAAGACCUGUCCAGAAAAAAAAAUGUCUUCUUUCAGGGAUGAACUGCUGUCCUCAUCAGACGCCUUAUUUUGUUUAGAAUUCAAGCUCACUUGACAGGUUAUUGUGAAGAUUAAAUGAAUUAAUACAUGUGAAGCAACUGUAACAACUCUUGACAUGCGUGGGCUGGACUUCCAGAAGAAACGUUGUCAGAACUCUGCCCAACUGAAAACAAGCCUACUAAAAAUAAAUAAAUAAAUAAAAUUUUAAAAAAUUGAUUAAUUAAAA
This is a long non-coding RNA of Homo sapiens (human), 1879 nucleotides long. The record is from Ensembl. Lineage: Eukaryota; Metazoa; Chordata; Mammalia; Primates; Hominidae.